Non-coding RNA from Triticum aestivum (bread wheat), 135 nucleotides. The record is from Rfam. Lineage: Eukaryota; Viridiplantae; Streptophyta; Magnoliopsida; Poales; Poaceae.
CUAAUACUCCCUCCAUCCGGAAAUACUUGUCAUUAAAAUGGAUAAAAGAGGAUGUAUCUAGACGUAUUUUAGUUCGAGAUAUAUCACUUUUUAUCCAUUUUAAUGACAAGUAUUUUGGGACGGAGGGAGUACUCA